CUCUGAGGUGUUAGACAGCAGAGCGAAACCUUGGAGAUGGAAUCUAUAAUCACGUCAAGACUGUUACCUGUAUACACUUAGGGAUGGAAAGUCUUCAACGUCACUCAAACGGUGUCCAAGUGGAUUUGCAGGAUUCGCAACAGCGAGGAGAAUAAUGGGAUUCAGGUUGGUAUUACACUGCCAUCGGGUAAGUGGAUUGAGUCAGUCCUGCCGUUUUCUGAGAGACAGAGAGAAUCACCCGAGGAGAAUGCCCACCUCCAGUAGUUAUAUUCUCAGGCGAUGGAAGAUGCUCAACCACUAAUCGAUCACUAAAUCAAGCCACGCCACAACACCUGACAGUCCGAAGGUAUCGCCUCAAGACAGCAGGAGCAGGCGGAAAUGCGCAGCACCAAGUUAUCCCCGCAGCCGCACCAUGUAAUGCCAGCGGAUCCCCCUCUUUGUGGACCUCGAGGUAAUCGGCUGGGCUGGCUGGAUCAUUUCUCCACGGGGUUACAAUGCUUACUAAUUAAUGCAAGAGCUCCUGUCCGUUCCCACUCGGAAAGAGUUUCCGUGCCACGAAUCACGCGACUGUGCAGUCUGUCAUGCACGCUCUAAAGCUCUCCAAUGAGGAGGAAAACGUGGUUCUGAAACAGUAUGACGAUAUGGUUUCAUUUUACACAGCUUUCAGAAAUAUUGGUUGAAUUGAAAAUAUUAAAAGUAU
Long non-coding RNA from Oncorhynchus keta (chum salmon), 700 nucleotides. RefSeq lists it as uncharacterized. NCBI's taxonomy places the organism in Eukaryota, Metazoa, Chordata, Actinopteri, Salmoniformes, Salmonidae. The transcript is spliced from 3 exons. The record is from RefSeq and is a predicted model, not a curated record.